Long non-coding RNA from Vombatus ursinus (common wombat), 834 nucleotides. RefSeq lists it as uncharacterized. The record is from RefSeq and is a predicted model, not a curated record. The transcript is spliced from 3 exons. NCBI's taxonomy places the organism in Eukaryota, Metazoa, Chordata, Mammalia, Diprotodontia, Vombatidae.
CUGAAUAUCAAAGAAGUAAAGUAAUUUUACCCAGGAUUUCAUAGCAGUCAGAGCUAGAACUCAAAUCCAGAACUCCUGGCUCCAAGUCCAGUGCUCCAGCCACUGCACCAGAAAAUGUCACUCUCUGAAAAUGAAGUUAGGCCUUGGAUGAGAAGCAUACGGUCCAUUGGAGAUUAGCAGCCAAAACCUUUUCAACUUGAAAUAUGCUUGUUGGGUUGGAUUCAAUUGAAUGGAAUGAAAUCUUGGAACGUAAAAAGCGAGUCCCAAUUAUUGGAGGGACACAGGACAACGGUCAUCCUAAAACAAUACUGAUGAGCUGUGAACCUUUACAACUAUUCUGGAAGAUGGAAAUACUCAUUCCCUGGUGUUUGCCAAAUUCAGAAUAAUAAAAAAAUAUAUAAAUGGUGCUGAAUUUGUGAAAGAGGAAAGUUAAUUGUUUUAAAUCAAAUUCAUACCGUUAAAUGAAGUCUAAAGGAGUUUCUUGUAUAUAAACUUCCUCUUCCUUUGUCUGCUUCCUUCCUGGAUACCCCAAUUCCAAGGACUUUGAAUGAUUCUGACAUUAUUGCACAACAUGGAAUCAAAAGUCGUGAAUAUAUGUUCAUCUCGUGUUAAAAUUUCCUCUGCCUUUGGCAUUACUCUCCACAGAUAUUCCUUGGGAAUUUACAAACAGCAUUCACUACCACAAGAUGUCAGCCAAUUGGGCCCAAUUUCUAAAGAAUAUCGAUCUGUAACACACAAUUUUUUUCUGAUGCUUAGUUUUAUUUAUAUGUAACCAACAGUUGUAUCCUACAUUUUAUAUCAUUUUAAACAGCCGUAAAAUUAAAUUGCAUAUUA